UGGUGUGGAAGUGCAGUAAUGCAUGGAGCUGACGAAUACUAAUCGGUCGAGGACUUAUCCACA
Molecule: ribosomal RNA, 63 nt
Filed under: Brevibacillus sp. SKDU10
Lineage: Bacteria; Bacillati; Bacillota; Bacilli; Caryophanales; Paenibacillaceae
Description: partial 23S ribosomal RNA
Source: RNAcentral